Non-coding RNA from Dermacentor andersoni, 1668 nucleotides. NCBI's taxonomy places the organism in Eukaryota, Metazoa, Arthropoda, Arachnida, Ixodida, Ixodidae. The record is from RefSeq and is a predicted model, not a curated record.
CACGCCGCGCGCGGCACGCGGUGCUGUCGCGCGCGGCAAGAUUCACGAAAAGCGGCAGCAACGCGCGGCAAACGCGCGAAUGGGUGCGAGACCCAUUUUUCGCGGCAGACGCAAAACGACCACCAAUCAGAAGCGAGCUGCUUUACGAACCGCGCUGUUGUGGCGCCACCUGUGGCAUAAGCUAAGAAUCAUAAUCUAUGGGCUCCGUGACACGCACGCCGUAAAUCUCAGACACGCACGCCGUAAAAUCUCAGAGGCCAUUUCCAGUCAAGGGGGCUGUUUUUGUUAAGCCUUCCCACACUGCCAUCGAGACAUCGUCGAAGAAGUCGCAAUGGAAGCGUUUUUAGAAACUGUUCGCGACUAUCCGUGCCUAUACGAUAAAUCGAACGGCGAUUUCAAAGAUAAGGAGCUGCGCGCCAACCGCUGGCACAUUAUUGGACAACAGUUUGGGAUGACAGGUGAGUAAUUGGUGAAAUUUUCUUAAUGUUUCGGGAACAUGUGUGAGCAUGUCAUUGUGUUUGUACAUACCAUGCAGGCGAGCAGGCAGCGGCGAAGUUCAAGAACUUCCGCGACCGCUGGCUUAAGGUAGCGGUGGAGAAAAAGAAAGCUUACAAGAGUGGUGCUCCCGGCAAGGAAGGGAAGGCGAAAACGGAGUGGCCGUACUAUUACAUUCUUGACAGUUUUCUGCGGAAGACGCCUUACUACGCGGAAAAAUUAACCACGAAUAUCCCACUGCCACAAGAUGGACACCUGCAGCAGGCCGAAGAGGCACUGUCAACCAGCAGUGCUGCAGGCGAUUGGUAUUUUGUUUCUUUCUGUUUACGUACUGGGACCUGCAUGUGGUACUCUGACAAAUAUUCAUUCAACAUAGAUAAAUCUUAUAUGCAGUUGGCCCAACCCAUCGCCAGCUGAAGAAGUGCUGGAUGAAAUGUAUGCCUUGUCACAUUUUUUUUUUUUUUAGCGCUACCAUGUAUUACGUCUACGUACUUCUGUUUAUUAUUUGUUGAUGUCAAUGCAGAUGCUCUGGGAGAACACCUAUGUUCACUUCAGAUGAUGAAGAGAGCUGUGGGUGGGUACUUGUGAAUUUAUUGUGAAUGAUCAAUCAUAGAACACACAUGCAUGAAACACACUUGCUAAAUGAAAUAGUUUAUUACUUACAAAGACUGAUAAUGUAUUGCAUAAAUUGUCUUGCUGGCAGUAAAAUGCUGUGCACCACAUACUGGACGUUUCAUAUCCUGUUGUCUCAUCGAAACACAUUCUUUAUGUAUUUCAGCUUGCUCAGUCCAACCCCGACUGAGGCUGCAGCAUCUUCCGGGUGAGCUUGUCUCAAGGAAUUUUACAUUGUAUCUCUCUUAACAGAUGAUAUUUUUCUUUUCAUGCGUCAUCAAGGUCCAACAGUGGCGCAAACAGAGCCCAGCCGCCAGCGCAGCCUUCCCAAGUGCGACUUUCCUCGGCACCACAGUAUCGUAAAAGAAGAAAGAAUGACACGUUUGAAGAAGCCGUACAGGAAGCACUGGGUAGCUGCAGCAGCACACUGAGCAGGAUUGAGAGUACUAGGAAGCUUGGAGUACCUAGUACCGAAAGCCCACCAGACGAAUGCCAGCAGGCGGCCAACUGGAUGGCCACAAAGCUGCGAAAGUUUCCGGCAAGGAAACGCUCGGAGAUACU